AUUGAACGCUGGCGGCAGGCUUAACACAUUCAAUUCGAGCGAGCGGCGGACGGGGGAGAAAUGUCUGGGACACUGCCUGAUGGAGGGGGAUAACUACUGGAAACGGCAGCUAACACCGCAUACCAUCAUAUGUUCACAGAUGGGAUUAGCUGGUAGGUGGGUUAAUGGCCCACCUAGGCGACGAUCCCUCGCUGGUCUGAGAGGAUGACCAGGCACACUGGACCUUAUACACUGUCCAGACUCCUACGGGAGGCAGCAGUGGGGAAUAUUGCACAAUGGGCUCAAGCCUGAUGCAGCCAUGCCGCGUGUGUGAAGAAGGCCUUCGGGUUGUAAAGCACUUUCAGCGAGGAGGCGUUACUCGCAGAAGAAGCACCGGCUAACUCCGUGCCAGCAGCCGCGGUAAUAC
Molecule: ribosomal RNA, 406 nt
Filed under: uncultured bacterium
Lineage: Bacteria
Description: partial 16S ribosomal RNA
Rfam family: Bacterial small subunit ribosomal RNA
Source: RNAcentral